UACGUAGGUGGCAAGCGUUGUCCGGAAUUAUUGGGCGUAAAGCGCGCGCAGGCGGUUCCUUAAGUCUGAUGUGAAAGCCCCCGGCUCAACCGGGGAGGGUCAUUGGAAACUGGGGAACUUGAGUACUGAAGAGGAAAGCGGAAUUCCACGUGUAGCGGUGAAAUGCGUAGAGAUGUGGAGGAACACCAGUGGCGAAGGCGGCUUUCUGGUCAGUAACUGACGCUGAGGCGCGAAAGCGUGGGGAGCAAACAG
Molecule: ribosomal RNA, 252 nt
Filed under: uncultured prokaryote
Description: partial 16S ribosomal RNA
Rfam family: Bacterial small subunit ribosomal RNA
Source: RNAcentral